UUGUCUCUCUCAGCCUUUUAGCUAAGAUGAAGUGCAUUAUCUCCUCUUAUAGUUUAAUAUCUGAUAUAUCCCUUCUCUGAGGACAAUAUAUGAAAUAGAUUUUUAUAGCAGGGAGAUGAAAUAGGAGCUCGUUCCAUCCACUCUGCAAUCCAUCUGAUACAGUAGUGGCUCGGGGAAUGGUAUACCCCUU
Molecule: small nuclear RNA, 190 nt
Filed under: Dasypus novemcinctus (nine-banded armadillo)
Lineage: Eukaryota; Metazoa; Chordata; Mammalia; Cingulata; Dasypodidae
Description: U2 spliceosomal RNA (ENSDNOG00000048671.1)
Rfam family: U2 spliceosomal RNA
About the family: U2 is a small nuclear RNA (snRNA) component of the spliceosome (involved in pre-mRNA splicing). Complementary binding between U2 snRNA (in an area lying towards the 5' end but 3' to hairpin I) and the branchpoint sequence (BPS) of the intron results the bulging out of an unpaired adenosine, on the BPS, which initiates a nucleophilic attack at the intronic 5' splice site, thus starting the first of two transesterification reactions that mediate splicing.
Source: RNAcentral